AUGCCUGCCAUGCCGGAUGCGGCCGUGCUGGCCUUCUACCUCGCCGACGGCUGCGCCAAGAUCCUGCUGCCGCUCCUCUGCUUCCUCGGCAGCGGCGGGCCGUCCACCCGCAGCCCCGCCGUCGACGAGGCGGCCGCCUUCCUCCUCGUCCUCCUCCCCACGGUCUACCUCGCCGGCGUCAUCGUCGCCCACUUCGCCGGCGUCGUCCUCGCCCACCUCCACCUGGCCACCCCGACGCCGGCCACGACUGCGGCCGCGGCCGUCUCCUCCGCCGGUCCGGCAUGGUUCGUCGCUCUGUUCUUCUCGCUCGUCUCCGCGCUACUUCUCCUCGUUGCUGUGCCGUUCGCCGCCAUCUCCUUCUUCCUCGGCGCGGGAAAGCAGGGGACUGGGCCGGGGUUCAGCGAGAACGAGCUGAGCUUAAUCUCAGCUCAAUCCCCCCUCCUACUGCGCCAUACGGAAGAAAUUAUACUCCUUUUGCUUUUGUAG
RNAcentral lists this ribosomal RNA (486 nucleotides) under Triticum aestivum (bread wheat). Its description in RNAcentral is "partial small subunit ribosomal RNA". The record is from RNAcentral. Lineage: Eukaryota; Viridiplantae; Streptophyta; Magnoliopsida; Poales; Poaceae.